CAUGGUUUUCUUUUAAAAGAUGGCUCUGCUAUCACUUCUGGAUGGACCCGCGGCGUAUUAGCUAGUUGGUGAGGUAAAGGCUCACCAAGGCAGUGAUACGUAGCCGACCUGAGAGGGUAAUCGGCCACAUUGGGACUGAGACACGGCCCAGACUCCUACGGGAGGCAGCAGUAGGGAAUCUUCCACAAUGGACGCAAGUCUGAUGGAGCAACGCCGCGUGAGUGAAGAAGGGUUUCGGCUCGUAAAGCUCUGUUGUUAAAGAAGAACGUGGGUAAGAGUAACUGUUUACCCAGUGACGGUAUUUAACCAGAAAGCCACGGCUAACUACGUGCCAGCAGCCGCGGUAAUACGUAGGUGGCAAGCGUUAUCCGGAUUUAUUGGGCGUAAAGCGAGCGCAGGCGGUCUUUUAAGUCUAAUGUGAAAGCCUUCGGCUCAACCGAAGAAGUGCAUUGGAAACUGGGAGACUUGAGUGCAGAAGAGGACAGUGGAACUCCAUGUGUAGCGGUGAAAUGCGUAGAUAUAUGGAAGAACACCAGUGGCGAAGGCGGCUGUCUGGUCUGCAACUGACGCUGAGGCUCGAAAGCAUGGGUAGCGAACAGGAUUAGAUACCCUGGUAGUCCAUGCCGUAAACGAUGAUUACUAAGUGUUGGAGGGUUUCCGCCCUUCAGUGCUGCAGCUAACGCAUUAAGUAAUCCGCCUGGGGAGUACGACCGCAAGGUUGAAACUCAAAAGAAUUGACGGGGGCCCGCACAAGCGGUGGAGCAUGUGGUUUAAUUCGAAGCUACGCGAAGAACCUUACCAGGUCUUGACAUCUUCUGACAGUCUAAGAGAUUAGAGGUUCCCUUCGGGGACAGAAUGACAGGUGGUGCAUGGUUGUCGUCAGCUCGUGUCGUGAGAUGUUGGGUUAAGUCCCGCAACGAGCGCAACCCUUAUUACUAGUUGCCAGCAUUAAGUUGGGCACUCUAGUGAGACUGCCGGUGACAAACCGGAGGAAGGUGGGGACGACGUCAAAUCAUCAUGCCCCUUAUGACCUGGGCUACACACGUGCUACAAUGGAUGGUACAACGAGUCGCGAGACCGCGAGGUUAAGCUAAUCUCUUAAAACCAUUCUCAGUUCGGACUGUAGGCUGCAACUCGCCUACACGAAGUCGGAAUCGCUAGUAAUCGCGGAUCAGCAUGCCGCGGUGAAUACGUUCCCGGGCCUUGUACACACCGCCCGUCACACCAUGAGAGUUUGUAACACCCAAAGCCGGUGGGGUAACCUUUUAGGAGUCUAGCCGUCUAAGG
RNAcentral lists this ribosomal RNA (1287 nucleotides) under Pediococcus pentosaceus. RNAcentral's name for it is "bacterial SSU rRNA". It matches the Rfam family "Bacterial small subunit ribosomal RNA", at positions 188 to 1462 of the family's 1533-position model. The record is from RNAcentral. Lineage: Bacteria; Bacillati; Bacillota; Bacilli; Lactobacillales; Lactobacillaceae.